Molecule: long non-coding RNA, 1308 nt
Filed under: Malus domestica (apple)
Lineage: Eukaryota; Viridiplantae; Streptophyta; Magnoliopsida; Rosales; Rosaceae
Description: long non-coding RNA (MDOM_LNC002036)
Source: RNAcentral
GUAUAGGAACGCUUUCCUUUAUUACGCUCGAUACUUCGGCCGAAGAUUCCCGAAUCAUAUCUUAGAGUAUUCAACCUCUCAGAAUGAGGAUUAGAGAUCCCUUGUUGCGCAUUCACUUGCCUCCAUGGCUAAGUGGCUUAACCCCAACUAUGUCGUGGACACCCGCGGAUGGAGUGACUUUGACAUAAUCAAAGAUCAAGAACCUAACCACAAGACAACUAUGAUGCCUCAGGUCAAAUGACUACUUACAUUAUUCCAACCAUUAGAGUUACUUGCUUGACAUAUGAGUAGACCUCCAUGCAAGUACUUUCGUUCGAUUGUGUUCAGUGAACUCAUUCCCUUAAUGAGCACCUACAUACCUGUCUUAGUGUCACUACACGAAUGGGACGAGACUUUCCAUGCUUCCAAUUGAAGCAGACAUAGUAUGUACCGGUCUAUGCAUUGUUAGUAUCCCUCCUACAAUCCUAUGACCAGGAACCUUUUGGCAUGAUGGUUAUGUGAAGAAGGUCUCUGUAGUCUAACAUCAUUAGAUUACUUCUUCCAUCAAUCUAUUGUCCAUGGAUUCACUAUUUAGGACAUAUAUCGUUUGUUGGGAUAGUCCUAAUUAGUAUCUUUGCCAUUUGAUGUACAAGAAUCAUCUAUACAUCCAUUCAUUGUCCUGUAAGGUUUCUUCCAAAGAUUGACUUUCAGGGCAUAUUUCCAACAAUCUCCCACUUGCACUAAAGUCAAUCACUAGUGUAUCUUAUACUUGCUAGUUGAGUGAGCUUAUGCUCGUAGGUUAACUUGGUUAUGUAUUAAUCCUUUUAAUUUAUAAAAGGGAUUUACUUAUCAAAUGUUUCUAAAACAUUUGAUGAUGUCUCUUUAUUGUGUUCAAAUACUUUGAUGAGACAUUGAUUCCAUAGCUUAAGCUAUCGCCCCAUUACGUCGUAGUGUCCAACUAACGACCUUAUGAUUUGGAUUCAAUCAUUGGUUCUAUAUGUUGGAAAUGUGCCCUAAAGCCAAUCAUAUGAUGAUACUUUACGGACAUUUUACAUGUUAAACUAAUCUAGUUUAACUAUAAAGGGCAAAGAUUAUUGUUUGAGCCGUCUCAUAUAAAUGUUAUAUGUUUAAACGAUAAAGUCCAAGGAAUAUGUGAUUGGAAGAAUGUAAUCUAAUGAAGUUAGAUUCAUGAGACCAUUUUUUCGUAGACACAUCCUAAAUGUUCCUGAUCAUAGGAUUGCCAAUUGGGCAUUAACAGUCCGUCAAGAUCGGUACGUGCUAUGUCUUCUCUCAGGGAGAGUGACUAGUCUCGAGUCAUUGGUGUGUGUG